GUGCUUGCUUCAGCAGCACACAUACUAAAACUGGAAUGGUAGAGAUUAUCAUGAUCCCAUCACAAGGAUGACAAGGAAAUUCAUGAAAAAUUCCAUAAAUAU
Jaculus jaculus (lesser Egyptian jerboa) is the source of this 102-nucleotide small nuclear RNA. NCBI's taxonomy places the organism in Eukaryota, Metazoa, Chordata, Mammalia, Rodentia, Dipodidae. The record is from Ensembl.